Molecule: long non-coding RNA, 934 nt
Organism: Carassius auratus (goldfish)
Lineage: Eukaryota; Metazoa; Chordata; Actinopteri; Cypriniformes; Cyprinidae
Exons: 3
Source: RefSeq, a predicted model, not a curated record
UAUGUACAUGUCUAUGCAAAAUAAAGAUGAAUGCUGGGGGAAACAGACAGCGGGUGAUUAAGGUGCACAAGUUUGUGGCCGAUCUGUCAUGCUAUCCCUAUUGUCUUAUGAUUCCUUAUCAUUAGUUUCCCUGACAAUGAUUUAGCAGUCAUUGUCAGGGAAGUAUUCCCCCCUCAUUGCCUUUCACUGUGUUUAAACGUAACCUUCUUUCAGGAACGGCUGCCAUUCGUCACUUUUGACCUGUCAAGCAAGACAAAAUUGGACACUUCCAACCGUGGCCUUUUGUCCUGACACGGGCAGGCAGGUCGUGGCCUGGUGACUGUUAAAUAAGAACCAGGGGCAGGUCAGCGUGCAGGCCAAGGAACGGUUGAAAGCGAGCCCCCUGGUCCCUCUCUCUGGCAGCCAACAGCUGAUGCAGAAAGUCACCAUCCAUCUCUGGCAGGAUGUUAAUGAUGCAGCUUUUGGGAGGAGAGGAACUAAGACCUACUUUGCAGAUCAUCCGUGCCUAAAGCAGGGGGGAAUAGUGUCUGGAGAAAGUCUAUCCUCCACAAAACCAGGAGAAAUAUUGUCUUUUAACAGCCACAUGAAAGGAGAGAUGCUGUGAGCCACUUCAACACGACAGAAUAGCCUGCAGGGAUUUAAACCGACGGAGAAGCGUCUCGGGCAGAUAGGAUGCUGUCACGUACACCGUGCAAACUCGCCGUUUAUGUGGGAAUUAUAAGCAAAUAGUUAUUAUUUUCAUGAAAUGGAGCAUUCCCAUUUUAACUAGGGCUAGAAAUGUUAAAAUAUUGAAAAAUCUAUUAAACAUUAAAUGUGGAAUACUUGCUACAUCUGUCUCCAGCUAAUUGAGACGCUACCAAGAAUGUUAGGACUCAGGAGAAUAAUUUGUCGGUGCAAAAACACGGAAUGGACCAAUUUAUUGCUCGCUGCAGGC